This 539-nucleotide ribosomal RNA is filed under the name uncultured bacterium. Its description in RNAcentral is "bacterial SSU rRNA". It matches the Rfam family "Bacterial small subunit ribosomal RNA", at positions 777 to 1314 of the family's 1533-position model. The record is from RNAcentral.
AAUAGAUACCCGGGUAGUCCACGCCGUAAACGAUGAGUGCUAGGUGUUGGGGGGGUCCACCCCUCGGUGCCGAAGUUAACACAUUAAGCACUCCGCCUGGGGAGUACGGUCGCAAGACUGAAACUCAAAGGAAUUGACGGGGACCCGCACAAGCAGUGGAGUAUGUGGUUUAAUUCGAAGCAACGCGAAGAACCUUACCAGGUCUUGACAUCCCUCUGAAUCCUCUAGAGAUAGAGGCGGCCUUCGGGACAGAGGAGACAGGUGGUGCAUGGUUGUCGUCAGCUCGUGUCGUGAGAUGUUGGGUUAAGUCCCGCAACGAGCGCAACCCUUGAAUUUAGUUGCCAGCACGUUAAGGUGGGCACUCUAGAUUGACUGCCGGUGACAAACCGGAGGAAGGCGGGGAUGACGUCAAAUCAUCAUGCCCCUUAUGACCUGGGCUACACACGUACUACAAUGGCCGGUACAACGGGCAGCGAAGGAGCGAUCCGGAGCCAAUCCUACCAAAGCCGGUCUCAGUUCGGAUUGCAGGCUGCAACUCG